This 256-nucleotide ribosomal RNA is filed under the name uncultured bacterium. RNAcentral describes it as "partial 16S ribosomal RNA". It matches the Rfam family "Bacterial small subunit ribosomal RNA", at positions 524 to 776 of the family's 1533-position model. The record is from RNAcentral.
UACGAAGGACCCAAGCGUUAUCCGGAUUUAUUGGGUUUAAAGGGUGCGUAGGCGGAUUAUUAAGUCAGUGGUGAAAGCCUGCAGCUUAACUGCAGAACUGCCAUUGAUACUGAUGAUCUUGAGUAUGAUUGAGGUGGGCGGAAUGUGUCAUGUAGCGGGUGAAAAUGCUUAGAUAUGACACAGAACACCGAUUGCGAAGGCAGCUCACUAAGCCAUAACUGACGCUGAUGCACGAAAGCGUGGGGGAGCAAACAGG